UAGUCCCGGCGGCCACAGGACGCGCGGAGGCCGGGCGGGGCGGGAGGGGCGGGGCGCGCGCUGCUGUCAGCCGUGAGCCGGGACUUGUACA
This is a non-coding RNA of Nomascus leucogenys (northern white-cheeked gibbon), 91 nucleotides long. It matches the Rfam family "GRIK4 3 prime UTR element". Lineage: Eukaryota; Metazoa; Chordata; Mammalia; Primates; Hylobatidae. The record is from Rfam.